Molecule: small RNA, 27 nt
Filed under: Bombyx mori (domestic silkworm)
Lineage: Eukaryota; Metazoa; Arthropoda; Insecta; Lepidoptera; Bombycidae
Description: piRNA piR-bmo-2039318
Source: RNAcentral
AAGUUCGUAGGGUUUGAAAUUAGUGGU